GUAAUUUCAGCACUUUGGGAGGCCAAGGCGGGCGGAUCACUUGAAGUUCUGUUUGGAUUCUGCAAAGCAGACUCGUCAGAAAGUUGCUGUGAACUGGACCAACUUCAGCCUCAAGAAAACCACUCCUAGCACAGCUCAGUGAGGCCCUGCCCAGGCUGAGCUUCUUCAGGGCGUCCUGAGGCCCCGACUGCCAGCUGAAGGCCUACAAUUUUUCCCUCCGUGUGCCCCACCCACCCGUCCAAGACCCUCUCUGCUCCCCACCAUCCUGGACCAACCAAAAGCUGAACGGAUGCCACACUGUGCUGGGGCCCCUUGACCUCAGCAGAGCCGCUUCCUGGUGCUACGCAGCCUCCACACUCAGAGCCCGUGGACUGGGCUGGCCUAAGGGCCAGGG
Molecule: small RNA, 394 nt
Filed under: Pongo abelii (Sumatran orangutan)
Lineage: Eukaryota; Metazoa; Chordata; Mammalia; Primates; Hominidae
Description: processed transcript
Source: RNAcentral